RNAcentral lists this long non-coding RNA (1215 nucleotides) under Hordeum vulgare. Its description in RNAcentral is "long non-coding RNA (HVUL_LNC019678)". The record is from RNAcentral. Lineage: Eukaryota; Viridiplantae; Streptophyta; Magnoliopsida; Poales; Poaceae.
UCUACAACCCUCUAAAUAAAUCAAACAAGACAUGAAACUGAAGUCAUCCAACUGCCUUACAACCUCUAACAAAAGUCUAAGGCAAAGAAAUCACCCAUGAGCAGAUCUACAACCUCUAACUUUGACAAAAACAUCACAAAUUGGGACUUAGUAAAAAUUACAGAUUUUCACCAGUUGCUCGUGCUCCAAAGCAUUUUGGCAACCUCCAAAAUGAUAUCUACAGGAGGUAUCUGCACAUGAAAUUUUACAUGGAGCUAUACAAACAUACCAGCAAACAAACAUUAGUUUGUUGUUUGGGCUAAUUCCCAACGGAGGAGAAAAUAUAAACAAAACAACAAGGGAAGAGAAUAACUCCAGAUUCCAAGACUCGGUGAAAUUCUCAGGUUUUCACCAAUCUGUCAUAUCAGUCAAGUGUCCACUUUGACAAGGUGUAAUAAGCACAUGCAAAAACAUAUGAGCAACACAUUUGCCCCAAGUUGUAGAGGGGUUCACCCACUACCAUUCCGUCAAGGAAUCACUAACAAUGGAUCACAGCUCCACCAGAUAUGAGGCUCUAAACAGGGCAUGAAAAUAACAAUGCAACACUUAGGGAAAUAAAAUAUACAUGGAGAGGGGUCCACUUGGCAAUGGCUCUCUCUUAGGAUGACAUGUGGGUCCUUUGGACCCACUCUCACACACACACACACUACUCUACAUGUGCUACAGCCUCUCAGACAUACACACAUACACAUACACAUGGAAAACAAAAUACAAAGAAAAGGUGCCAAGGGGGGGGCGAACCCACCACUUCCCUGGUAGAACUAACCUACUCCACCACUGGGCUAUCAUCUCAGUGCUGCACUAUAGGGAGAACCACAGGAAGUAAGGUGUCUCUGUUGAUAAUGCACAGGAAAAUUAAAUCAAUCAACAAAAGGGGUCCACUUGGCAAUGGCUCUCUCUUAGGAUGACAUGUGGGUCCUUUGGACCCACUCUCACACACACACACACUACUCUACAUGUGCUACAGCCUCUCAGACAUACACACAUACACAUACACAUACACAUGGAAAACAAAAUACAAAGAAAAGGUGCCAAGGGGGGGGCGAACCCACCACUUCCCUGGUAGAACUAACCUACUCCACCACUGGGCUAUCAUCUCAGUGCUGCACUAUGGGGAGAACCACAGGAAGUAAGGUGUCAUAAUGCACAGGAAAAUUAAAUCAAUCAACAAAAGGG